AGUGAACGCUGGCGGCGUGCUUAACACAUGCAAGUCGAACGAGAACGGAUUAUAGCUUGCUAUAAUUGUCAGCUAAGUGGCACACGGGUGAGUAAUGUAUAGGUAAUAUGCUUCUUACUAAGGGAUAACAAAUGGAAACGUUUGCUAAUACCUUAUACUCCUUAUUAACAGAAGUUAAUAAGGGAAAGAUUUAUUGGUAAGAGAUUAGCCUGUAUUGUAUCAGUUAGUUGGUGGGGUAAUGGCUUACCAAGACUAUGACACAUAACUGGUUUGAGAGGAUGAUCAGUCACACUGGAACUGAGACACGGUCCAGACUCCUACGGGAGGCAGCAGUGGGGAAUAUUGCACAAUGGACGAAAGUCUGAUGCAGCAACGCCGCGUGGAGGAUGACACAUUUCGGUGCGUAAACUCCUUUUAUAUGAGAAGAUAAUGACGGUAUUAUAUGAAUAAGCACCGGCUAACUCCGUGCCAGCCGCCGCUGUAA
Molecule: ribosomal RNA, 484 nt
Filed under: uncultured bacterium
Lineage: Bacteria
Description: partial 16S ribosomal RNA
Rfam family: Bacterial small subunit ribosomal RNA
Source: RNAcentral